UGUAGCUCAGUGGUAGAGCACUUGCCUUGCACACAAGAGGUCCUGGGUUUGGUUCCCAGCA
Molecule: transfer RNA, 61 nt
Filed under: Ictidomys tridecemlineatus (thirteen-lined ground squirrel)
Lineage: Eukaryota; Metazoa; Chordata; Mammalia; Rodentia; Sciuridae
Description: Spermophilus tridecemlineatus (thirteen-lined ground squirrel) tRNA
Rfam family: tRNA
About the family: Transfer RNA (tRNA) molecules are approximately 80 nucleotides in length.
Source: Rfam by way of RNAcentral